UUUAAGGGUAACCAUAAGUUUCCGUGGCCAACUUUGAUCGUUGGUCUUAUUUGAAAUUUUUUUAUAAUUAGUAGUUUUGUUAUUAUGAGAUGAUAAAACAUGAAUAAUACUUUACUCGUGACUUAUGUUUUUAAUUUUUUUCAAAAAAUUUUCAAAUAAAACGGACAGUCAAAGUUGAGCGCGAAAAAAUCAUGGCUGCACUUAAA
Non-coding RNA from Oryza glumipatula, 206 nucleotides. Lineage: Eukaryota; Viridiplantae; Streptophyta; Magnoliopsida; Poales; Poaceae. The record is from Rfam.